UAACGUCAUUUCUGACGUACCGGCCAGC
RNAcentral lists this small RNA (28 nucleotides) under Bombyx mori (domestic silkworm). RNAcentral's name for it is "ovarian small RNA-5686". Lineage: Eukaryota; Metazoa; Arthropoda; Insecta; Lepidoptera; Bombycidae. The record is from RNAcentral.